UUGGGCAGUGUUCUGAGUGUAGAAGAAUGACAUUUUCAUUAAAACACAGAUUACGGAGAGUACAUUUUAUUCCCUCCGGAACUUCUGCCAGUCCGUUGCACUUGUGUCCAGUGGCAACAACCUUUCUAAUUAGUUUAUUUAACUUUGACCACAAUGUUUACUUUAAAUUGGGGGAAAGUGAAUUGUUUUAGGGGGAGAGGGAAAAAAAAACACUUUGGUUGAAUCAAAGCAGCAUGUGUAAGGUGCGUAAAUGGUGACCUCGUGACCUUAGAGACCUGUUUUGCUGCAAACUACACCAAAGCUGUCAAAUCUUGAAACAGCUACUGAUAUGCAAAAGAUCUUCGAUCAAACAAAUAUAACUUCUACAAGCCUCUGUGACUUACCAAAUGUCCUGAUCUUAUUUUCAUUAAUCAAUAUGCAUGAUAGCUUGGGAAAAUCGCCUUAAAAUGAGGGAGAAGUAAAGAUAGUGUUAAACUUAUUUAGAGAGAGCUUACUUUCAGCUGAGCAGGCAGUUCCCAAACUAAAGGGAAAACCCUGAAAGAAAACACACUGCUGGGGGAGGAAGAAAAGCAAAGAAAGACGCCAAGAAUGACUUUUAAACAAAUAUUUAAUCUCCCUUUCCUGCGAGUUAGGUCCAGACAUAGCGGAGUAAUCUACGUUUCGAACGAGUGACACGUCAAUUUAAGCUAAUAUUCCUCCGACACUGUACCAACAACUAUACAUUUAGCCUCAGGACACUUUUUACGGUUAAGCUUGUUUAAACUCCCAGUUUAAGGUGGUUUUUUUUAAAAAAUCCCUCAAAGCCUUUAAAAUAAAGCUACCUUCAUUAUUUGGACAUUAUCAUGAGCGAACGUAAAGUCUGAAAGGAAGGUGAAUGGCUUCGCUCACUGACAGAGAUGCGAAGAAUGCUCGGAAUGAGAAGAGGAAUGAAAUGAACGCAAAGAGCGAGUUUGCGUCGGGGGGCGGAGCGAGAGGUGGCGUCAUCCCGGAGCCCCGCAGCCUCCCUCGGCCGUGCCUUGACAUCCCGGGAACUGUCACCUUCACGGACGCGCAGAAAGUUCGAUUUCCCAGCUUCGCGGCGGUCACGCUCACUCCCUUUCGAAUUUUGCCCAUACAAUUUAGGCGAACGUUGACCCGUUGACACGGCCUGUGGCGGUCCUCGCUUUAAUUGGAACCCCGCGCUACACACCACUGUUGCGCCCCAAGUCCCGGUCCCCACCACCACGCCGAUGAAAACACUAGCGUGGAACUUCUAUAUAUUUUUAAAUGUAUGGAAUUAUAAAUAAAAAAGAACACAGCAAAAAAAAAAAUUAAAAUUAAGGAAACAAGCAUACAAUUUUGGCUUGUACUGUAUCACUUAUUUAAUCAUAAAAAAAAUCAUAAAAUCAGAAUCAUAAAAAUCAGGAUUGUCAAGCAGGUUGCCACAAAGAGAGGAAGUAGGCGAUAAAAGAAAAAGUGUGGAUGUUUUGAGAGGCUGCCAUUCACUAACUGUACCUGGAAUGCUACGUACAUCGCUUGCAUGCAUUUUGGCAACAAGCUUUAUGAUUUCAUCCACAGGUACAUAUGAAAUUUUAAAUACAGUUAAGCAUUGUUGUGAAACAAUAUAUGUCCAGUAUACUUGAUACACUGCUUUUGUAUGGCUUGGCAACAGCCGGCUAAGUGCGACCAGUUUAAAACCAAGUUUAAAACCACUGAAAUUUGAAACACCGCACAACCAGUGCAAAAACUUUGCACACUGCACGAAAGUUCAGUGGGGAUUCGGCCGCAUCGCUUGGUGUGCAGUGGGCCCAAGGAAACCUGAAAGCAAUAAUUUGGGUUUUGUUUCCCAGUGUGCUUGCUCUCUUUUAUGUUAAAAGAGGGAGUUUGCAUUUUUUUUUUUAAAUUGUCACAUUUGUCACAAACUUUCAGUAUGACCUGACAGUAGUACAUCAGAAUCAGCUUUAUUGGCCAAGUAUGUUACAAGAAACAUAAGCCAUUUGUCUCCAGUAGUUGGAGCCACUUUAGUAUGACAACAAACAGCCACUAUGACAAAAUAUACAUUGAGGACAUAGAAAACACAUGAGUGUGGAGAGUCAUCGAGCAAUAAGCAUAAGUAAAACCAUCUGUGAAAAAAAUGGCCCACUCUGGCCCCAUCUUGUACCUUCUUAUUUGAGUUUAAAGAAACCACCACGCCUGAUGGAAAAAAAAAACAACAAAUUAGGGACGGAAGGCGGGGGUGACAAGGUGUCAAUCACUUGUCGUGCACUAGCGUGUAAAUUCAUAGCAGAGAGACCCGCUGCGGCCUCGCACUCGCCUGUUACCAUGUCCUUCAGGGGCUCGGCUGAGACUGCGGCAGAAUACUCACCUCUGGAAAGUAAUUGUUAAAAAAAUGGCCAUCCCUCGUUUGCAAACAACUGGGCAUAAGAAUAUCAAACAGAAGCAUUCAAAGCUAAAAAUAAAGAACUGGACAGAUCCCAGGAUGAACCAAGGAUGAAUACUGGAGUUGCCUUUCAGAGGUGGAGGGACCGCAGGCAGCCGAGAGAUUCCGAAGCAACACGGAAUUAGCAACAUUUCUGCUUGACGGGUGAGUUUAUGCCAUGCCUCUAACCAUUUUUUCGUGUUAUUGCUUUGUUAGCAGCCAAAUUGCAUUGUAAGAUAAAAGCCGAUUACAUAUUUUGCAGCAAAACGUCAAUAUUUCAUAUUUGAAAUAUCUUCUGCGUCAGUCUAUAAAUGAACACAAAGCAUUUCAGUGGAUUCACGUGAGUGUGCCUACACAGCCAAAUACACAACUGUGGUCCUGUCUGAACAAGUCAUCCAUUAGAGUGAGCCUGUGUUUUGACACAGGUCUCUCAAAAGAAAACCAUCAAGGAAGAUGAACGACUGGCGCUCUGAAGACAUCAAUCGACACCUUUUAACGCCUGUCUGUGCAAGUUUGGCCCAAAGAGUGGAAGGUAGGGUGUCGAACUGCCCAUCAUUCUCGUCUGUCAAUACAUUUUUUUGUUCAGUUUUACUCAACCAUCACACUUUGAACUCCAUCAUUUGUUAAACGUACGUUACGUGAUCGUGUUGAUUGGCUGGUAUCAGGUUCGCCUGCACCAUCAAAUGAGAUCCAGUGAGAAAGCUUGAACAAAAAUUCUGCCAGUUCCUUAAUUUUGAUUGACACUGUCAGGUAGGUGUUCACUUAAAAAUAUUGUUAUUAUAGUGGAUAUAGUUUGCGGUAGAACUGCUUGCAACAUGUCAUCUAAUCUAACACACGCAUUAAAACAUUUUUCUAGUCUUGUGGAAACAAGCCAAUUAAGCCUUAAAUUAUUAAUAUUAUGUUGAGUUGAAGUCAUUAUGUAUUUGUUGACUUUACAUCAUAUACAAGAAAGUGUCAGAAAAAGUAUUGUAAGAAGACCUCCAACCUGUAGAAUUCAUUUAAUUUUUUUAAACUGUUUGAGAGGGGGAGUAAAAAAAAAUAAUAAUAAUAAUAAACUACUAACAUGCUUCA
Molecule: long non-coding RNA, 3469 nt
Organism: Phyllopteryx taeniolatus (common seadragon)
Lineage: Eukaryota; Metazoa; Chordata; Actinopteri; Syngnathiformes; Syngnathidae
Exons: 2
Source: RefSeq, a predicted model, not a curated record